CGGGACGGGGUGAGUAAUGUCUGGGAAACUGCCCGAUGGAGGGGGAUAACUACUGGAAACGGUAGCUAAUACCGCAUAACGUCGCAAGACCAAAGAGGGGGACCUUCGGGCCUCUUGCCAUCGGAUGUGCCCAGAUGGGAUUAGCUAGUAGGUGGGGUAAUGGCUCACCUAGGCGACGAUCCCUAGCUGGUCUGAGAGGAUGAUCAGCCACACUGGAACUGAGACACGGUCCAG
Molecule: ribosomal RNA, 234 nt
Filed under: uncultured bacterium
Lineage: Bacteria
Description: partial 16S ribosomal RNA
Rfam family: Bacterial small subunit ribosomal RNA
Source: RNAcentral